UUAUAGUAAACUAUCUUCGAGUACUUUUUAUGGUCGUGAAGUAUUCGGCGAGUAGUGCAGUCGGAUUGUUUUUGUUGGUCGUCCGUUCGUUCGGUCGGUCAACAACAAUAUUCUGAGGCUCCUUGCUUAGUUGUGUUCUAGUAGACGUUAACACCUGAACAAUAUGUGGUGGUGAUAUUGGUGAUGGCGAGAAUCAUGCCGCUUCAAUGGGGCAGCAACCAGCAUACGCUAAUGACAGUUGGUUGAUUGAAGCCAGGGCAACGGAGUGAUGUACGUGUGGCGAUCAUUUAACGUUUAUA
This 299-nucleotide unclassified non-coding RNA is filed under the name Pseudoterranova azarasi. RNAcentral's name for it is "ITS2". Lineage: Eukaryota; Metazoa; Nematoda; Chromadorea; Rhabditida; Anisakidae. The record is from RNAcentral.